CAUAUCAAUAAGCGGAGGAAAAGAAACUAACAAGGAUUCCCCUAGUAACUGCGAGUGAAGCGGGAAAAGCUCAAAUUUAAAAUCUGGCGGUCUUUGAUCGUCCGAGUUGUAGUCUGGAGAAGUGUUUUCCGUGCUGGACCGUGUAUAAGUCUCUUGGAAUAGAGCGUCAUAGAGGGUGAGAAUCCCGUCUUUGACACGGACUACCAGUGCUUUGUGAUGCGCUCUCAAAGAGUCGAGUUGUUUGGGAAUGCAGCUCAAAAUGGGUGGUAAAUUCCAUCUAAAGCUAAAUAUUGGCGAGAGACCGAUAGCGAACAAGUACCGUGAGGGAAAGAUGAAAAGCACUUUGGAAAGAGAGUUAAACAGUACGUGAAAUUGCUGAAAGGGAAACGAUUGAAGUCAGUCGCGUUGUUUGGAACUCAGCCUUGCUUUUGCUUGGUGCACUUUCUGAAUGACGGGCCAGCAUCAAUUUCAGCCGUUGGAAAAAGGCUGGGGGAAUGUGGCACCUUCGGGUGUGUUAUAGCCUCUGGUCACAUACAAUGGUUGGGAUUGAGGACCGCAGCGCGCCGUAAGGCAGGGGGUUUCCCACUUUCGCGCUUAGGAUGCUGGCAUAAUGGCUUUAAACGACCCGUCUUGAAACACGGACCAAGGAGUCUAACAUGCCUGCGAGUGUUUGGGUGGAAAACCCGAGCGCGUAAUGAAAGUGAAAGUUGAGACCUCUGUCAUGGAGGGCAUCGACGCCCGGACUUGAAGUUUUCUGAUGGAUCCGCGGUAGAGCAUGUAUGUUGGGACCCGAAAGAUGGUGAACUAUGCCUGAAUAGGGUGAAGCCAGAGGAAACUCUGGUGGAGGCUCGUAGCGAUUCUGACGUGCAAAUCGAUCGUCAAAUUUGGGUAUAGGGGCGAAAGACUAAUCGAACCAUCUAGUAGCUGGUUCCUGCCGA
RNAcentral lists this ribosomal RNA (938 nucleotides) under Hexagonia papyracea. RNAcentral describes it as "eukaryotic LSU rRNA". It matches the Rfam family "Eukaryotic large subunit ribosomal RNA", at positions 39 to 964 of the family's 3401-position model. Lineage: Eukaryota; Fungi; Basidiomycota; Agaricomycetes; Polyporales; Polyporaceae. The record is from RNAcentral.